AAUCAACGCUGGCGGCGUGCCUCAGACAUGCAAGUCGAACGCGAAAGUCCCCUUCGGGGGGCAAGUAGAGUGGCGCACGGGUGAGUAACACGUAGGUAAUCUACCUUUGGAUGGGGAAUAACAACCGGAAACGGUUGCUAAUACCGCAUAAUGCAGCGGCACCUAAUGGUGACAGUUGUUAAAGCGGGGGAUCGAAAGACCUCGCGUCUGAAGAGGAGCCUGCGGCGGAUUAGCUAGNGGUAAGGUAACGGCUUACCAAGGCGACGAUCCGUAGCCGGCCUGAGAGGGCGGUCGGCCACACUGGCACUGACAUACGGGUCAGACUCCUACGGGAGGCAGCAGUCGGGAAUUUUGGGCAAUGGGCGAAAGCCUGACCCAGCAACGCCGCGUGAAGGAUGAAAUCCC
This 405-nucleotide ribosomal RNA is filed under the name uncultured bacterium. RNAcentral describes it as "bacterial SSU rRNA". It matches the Rfam family "Bacterial small subunit ribosomal RNA", at positions 32 to 417 of the family's 1533-position model. The record is from RNAcentral.